RNAcentral lists this small RNA (26 nucleotides) under Bombyx mori (domestic silkworm). RNAcentral's name for it is "ovarian small RNA-27077". Lineage: Eukaryota; Metazoa; Arthropoda; Insecta; Lepidoptera; Bombycidae. The record is from RNAcentral.
UCCAUUCCCGAUACUUAGUGCAGCCC